AGAUCGAAUCAUUUUUUUAUUAUUUUCUGUCACGCUUAUCUGGUUGUUUGUCUCAGUGUAUUACCCAUGAUGACCCACUGCUUUCAUCGCGCAGCGAGACGAAGCUUGAGCCUUGAACCCGGUCCCCCCGCGGGCGCCAGACUGAGACGUCUGGCUUGGCAUUUCAAUCAAUUUGGCGGGACGGGUUGAUUUCAGUCUAUGAUUUGUGAUAUGGUGUGAUAUUUGUGAUAUAUUUGUGAUAUGAUUUGUGAUGGUGUGAUAUAACGGGCGACAAUUUUGUGGGUUCAAUGGAGAUACGAAAUGCGAAUGUGUUCCCUCAUGGCUAUUUUAAUUUCACCCUGUGAUUUUCCAGCCUCCAGGUGAAGCGAAAGUCGAACAGGACCGAUCCGCGACGGGCGACGGAUAGGGCGGAUAGGGUUCAUGUUGGACCGCCGCGGUGGACCGAGGGCCGGCCGUGCGCUUUUAUGGAUUCUCCGUACUCCGCCACCCCGCCGACGGUCGUCGAUCGUCGGUGCCGUUGCGGCGGCGCGUCGCCUAUUUGUAGGACGCUGGACGGCGGUGCGCGCGCAGGCAGCGCCGCACGUGGGCCGGCCGGCCGGGGCUGACGUAAGGCGAAGCUCAGUCACCGUGGACCGGCCCGCCGCGCCGGGUGAAUAGUGGCCGCCGCAGCAGCUGCAGCUCGGAGCUCCGCUGCCCGCCGCCGACUGCCCCAGGUCACAGCGCCCCACCGCCCCGGCCGCCGCCAUGGAACAGGAGAUGGAUCGUCGGCCGAGCGACUCGUCCGGCGGGAGCCACGUCAAGCUGCGGAAGGAGCUCGGGCUGGUAGAGGGCGUGGCCGUCAUCCUGGGCAUCAUCAUCGGAUCAGGUAUCUUCAUCUCGCCGGUGGGCGUGCUGCAGGAGUGCGGCUCCGUCGGUAUGUCGCUGGUCGUCUGGACACUGUGCGGAGUGCUCUCCAUGAUCGGCGCCCUCUGCUACGCCGAGCUGGGCACCACGAUUCCUAAAUCGGGCGGCGACUACGCCUACAUUCUGGAGGCGUUCGGCCCGUUGCCGGCCUUCCUCUUCCUCUGGGACGCCAACCUGAUCUUCGUGCCGACCACCAACGCCAUCAUGGGUCUGACGUUCGGUAACUACGUGCUGCAGCCGUUCUUUCCCAACUGUGACGUCAACUCGGCGUCGGUCCGCCUGCUCGCCGCUGCUGCCAUCUGCAUCCUGACGUUCGUCAACUGCUACAAUGUCAAGGUGACGGCGCGCCUGCAGAACGUCUUUAUGGUGACCAAGGUGUCGGCGCUGCUUCUCGUCAUCAUAGUCGGACUCGUCGUGCUCUGCAUGGGUAAGGGCCAGAGCUUUGACAACGCGUUUGUCGGCAUGAAGACGGACCCGGGCCAGAUCGCCGUGUCGUUCUACUCGGGCAUCUUCUCCUACGCCGGAUGGAACUACCUGAAUUUUAUGACUGAGGAGCUGCGCGACCCGUACCGGAACCUGCCGCGCUCCAUCUAUCUGAGCCUGCCGCUGGUCACCUGCAUCUACGUGCUCGCCAACGUCUCCUACCUGAUGGUGCUCUCGCCGGCCGAGAUGCUCGCGUCAGACGCCAUCGCCGUGACAUUCGCAAACAAGACUCUGGGUGUGAUGGCGUGGAUCAUGCCGCUGUUCGUGGCGUUCUCGGCGUUCGGCGGGCUCAGCGUGCACAUCAUGACCUCCUCCAGGUUGUGUUUCGUUGGCGCACGGAAUGGUCACUUCCCCGGCUCGCUGGCACUCAUAGGCCAGAGCUACGUGACGCCAAUGCCGGCUCUGGUUUUCUUGGCUGUGCUUCAUCGGCGCGCGGCACGGUCACUUCCCGAUGGCACUCUGCAGCGUCCAGAUGCAGCACUACACGCCGGCGCCGGCGCUCGCCUACCUCGGCCUGCUGUCACUGGUGUACCUGUGCACCAGUGACAUCUUCGCGCUCAUCAACUACGCCAGCUUCAUCGAGUCUUCGUUCAUCCUGUGCUCGAUAUGCGGCCUGCUCUACCUGAGGUGGAAGGAUCCGCACCGGGAGCGGCCCAUCAAGGUGAACAUCCUCGUACCGGUGGUGUUCCUGCUCAUCUGCGGCUUCCUCGUCUUCAUGCCGCUCUACGUGAAGCCCGUGGAAGUCGGCAUGGGCAUCCUCAUCACGUUCACCGGCGUGCCCGCCUACCUGGUGUUCGUCUACUGGAAGAAAAAGCCGGCGUGGGCGCUCCGGGCCAUUGCCCGGUUCAACGUGUUCACCCAGAAGCUGUUCCUGGCCGUGAAGGAGGAGUAGACGACCGGCCGGUCCGCGGGCCCGUUCCACACUGACCGUCUCUGGUCCACCCAGCGCCGGAGACGGGCGGGCGGCAGCAGGCUGACUCUCAGCUGGUGAGCGGGCCCGGUGACAACUUCGGCUGGUCCCAGAAAAAGGGGGCGACCACUGUGAUGGACCGGAGUGUGGCACCAGCGGAUAUGCGGCCUGCUAUACCAGCGAUGGAUAUACAGAGCAUGGAGAGACGACGGGAAACCCCGGGUCGCGCUCGGGCUCAUGUAACGGUCGGUACUCGGUCUCACGACUGGACACGAUGGUGAAGGUCCGAGACGAGGCCGUAGUGACAUCUGCUGGCGAACUGAGCCUGCAUGUGACGGCGAUGGAACAUGUCGGCUUCGCAGGGUAGCCAAGCGGUCAUUGAGCGGCAAUGCCAGCGGAUGGCUCGGUACCGUGAGUCAAAGCCUUGUUUCCAAGCUGGAGUGCCAGGGUCUAUGUCGUAUCCCGCCGACAGCUCGCGGCGGCCAGCACUCAGUGCUGUGUUCAUCCAAGUCGACCGGUCGCUGGGCACACGGCUGGACUCAGUGGAUGGGGAGCGGUAGAGACACGGGCGACCAGUGGACGUUUUGUACAGCUGUGUGAGUGCUGCGCGUCAUGGGCGUGAUGCGUGUGUCAGUGAGCGGAACUGCUGAGUGUGCACGUUUUGUUUUUAGAACGAUGUGCGUGAGCGAAUUGACUGGGCUACAUGUGGAUGGAAAUAGCCGUCUAUUUAUCUCCGUCUAUUUUGGUGGACAUGAGUUGAUGGUCUUUAUGUACAGAGGGGCAUUAUCCAUGACUAACGACGGCAUUGUUCGUCCGAUGAGAAUUUGUCUCGGCGGUGUAGCGAUUGGCUCAGUUUGUGAUUACGCGGCUGCGGUAUCUCUGACUGAUGCUGGGGCAGCUCUGGCAGGGGCUGCGACAGCGCUCGCCGAGGCUCGGCGGCGUAUCACUGGCUCAGUUUGUGAUCAGGUGGCUGAUGUGCCCCGGGACGAUGCCGGGGCAGCUCUGGCAGACGCUGCGGUAUCUCGGACUGGCGCUGUAGCAGUUCAGACCGAGACUAGGCGCGGCCUGACAAGCAGCGACGCGCCUGUUUGUGUUGUUCCUGGCUACUUCUGGGACGUCCGCCUUCGGCAAUACAUAUGACAUUGACAA
RNAcentral lists this unclassified non-coding RNA (3445 nucleotides) under Amphibalanus amphitrite. RNAcentral describes it as "large neutral amino acids transporter small subunit 2-like, transcript variant X1". Lineage: Eukaryota; Metazoa; Arthropoda; Thecostraca; Balanomorpha; Balanidae. The record is from RNAcentral.